Molecule: ribosomal RNA, 254 nt
Filed under: uncultured bacterium
Lineage: Bacteria
Description: partial 16S ribosomal RNA
Rfam family: Bacterial small subunit ribosomal RNA
Source: RNAcentral
GACAGAGGGUGCAAACGUUGUUCGGAAUUACUGGGCGUAAAGCGUGUGUAGGCGGUCCACUAAGUCGGACGUGAAAUCCCUCGGCUCAACCGGGGAACUGCGUCCGAUACUGGCGAGGCUUGAAUCCGGGAGAGGGAAGUGGAAUUCCAGGUGUAGCGGUGAAAUGCGUAGAUAUCCGGAGGAACACCGGUGGCGAAGGCGGCUUCCUGGACCGACACUGACGCUGAGGCGCGAAAGCCAGGGGAGCAAACGGG